RNAcentral lists this ribosomal RNA (1472 nucleotides) under Natrialba chahannaoensis. RNAcentral's name for it is "16S ribosomal RNA". It matches the Rfam family "Archaeal small subunit ribosomal RNA". Lineage: Archaea; Methanobacteriati; Methanobacteriota; Halobacteria; Halobacteriales; Natrialbaceae. The record is from RNAcentral.
AUUCCGGUUGAUCCUGCCGGAGGUCAUUGCUAUUGGAGUCCGAUUUAGCCAUGCUAGUUGUACGAGUUGAGACUCGUAGCAGAUAGCUCAGUAACACGUGGCCAAACUACCCUAUAGAUCCAGACAACCUCGGGAAACUGAGGCUAAUCCGGAAUAGGGCUCUCAUCCUGGAGUGGAGAGAGCCUGAAACGCUCCGGCGCUAUAGGAUGUGGCUGCGGCCGAUUAGGUAGACGGUGGGGUAACGGCCCACCGUGCCAGUAAUCGGUACGGGUUGUGAGAGCAAGAGCCCGGAGACGGUAUCUGAGACAAGAUACCGGGCCCUACGGGGCGCAGCAGGCGCGAAACCUUUACACUGCACGCCAGUGCGAUAAGGGGACUCCAAGUGCGAGGGCAUAUAGUCCUCGCUUUUUGCGACCGUAAGGUGGUCGCGGAAUAAGUGCUGGGCAAGACCGGUGCCAGCCGCCGCGGUAAUACCGGCAGCACGAGUGAUGACCGCUGUUAUUGGGCCUAAAGCGUCCGUAGCUGGCCGCACAAGUCUAUCGGGAAAUCUCUCCGCUUAACGGAGAGGCGUCCGGUGGAAACUGUGUGGCUUGGGACCGGAAGACCAGAGGGGUACGUCUGGGGUAGGAGUGAAAUCCCGUAAUCCUGGACGGACCACCGGUGGCGAAAGCGCCUCUGGAAGACGGAUCCGACGGUGAGGGACGAAAGCUCGGGUCACGAACCGGAUUAGAUACCCGGGUAGUCCGAGCUGUAAACGAUGUCUGCUAGGUGUGACACAGGCUACGAGCCUGUGUUGUGCCGUAGGGAAGCCGUGAAGCAGACCGCCUGGGAAGUACGUCCGCAAGGAUGAAACUUAAAGGAAUUGGCGGGGGAGCACUACAACCGGAGGAGCCUGCGGUUUAAUUGGACUCAACGCCGGACAUCUCACCAGCAUCGACAAUGUGCAGUGACGGUCAGUAUGAUGAGCUUACCUGAGCCAUUGAGAGGAGGUGCAUGGCCGCCGUCAGCUCGUACCGUGAGGCGUCCUGUUAAGUCAGGCAACGAGCGAGACCCGCACCCUUAAUUGCCAGCAGCACCCUUGUGGUGGCUGGGUACAUUAAGAGGACUGCCAGUGCCAAACUGGAGGAAGGAACGGGCAACGGUAGGUCAGUAUGCCCCGAAUGUGCUGGGCGACACGCGGGCUACAAUGGCCAAGACAGUGGGAUGCAACGCCGAAAGGCGACGCUAAUCUCCGAAACUUGGUCGUAGUUCGGAUUGAGGGCUGAAACUCGCCCUCAUGAAGCUGGAUUCGGUAGUAAUCGCGCCUCAGAAGGGCGCGGUGAAUACGUCCCUGCUCCUUGCACACACCGCCCGUCAAAGCACCCGAGUGGGGUCCGGAUGAGGCCCGGUUUCCGGGUCGAAUCUGGGCUCCGCAAGGGGGCUUAAGUCGUAACAAGGUAGCCGUAGGGGAAUCUGCGGCUGGAUCACCUCCA